Molecule: long non-coding RNA, 1157 nt
Organism: Gymnodraco acuticeps
Lineage: Eukaryota; Metazoa; Chordata; Actinopteri; Perciformes; Bathydraconidae
Exons: 3
Source: RefSeq, a predicted model, not a curated record
CUUCCUCUUGUGAAACUACUAAAGCAGCUCCAUCCAGCUGAGGAUUCAAUCGUCCAGCUGACUGAUCGAAGUGGGACAGAUCUCUGCUCGCUCGCCUACAAACACACAAGAUGAAAAUUGCUGUCUUUAUCAUCUUCAUGGCCACUCUUGCCCUUGUUGAUGGUUUAACUGUUUCAAAUUAUAGAGGAGUCAUUGAUCAGCACAACAAAUUUCUUAACAAACACGUCUUUCUGCAGAACAUUCCUGACACAAACGAUUUGGAUGCCUGGAAAAGGUACCUAGAUAGGUAUGGCCUCUGCAACGACAAACGUAGAACUACUCAGACCUUCAUGUCGAGGACCACCUUUCAAACCCAGAGAUUCUGUCAACACAAUACAUGUGAAGGGAACUUAUGUACCAGUGACUCAACCGUGAACCAUUACAUUGUCAGUGUCGACUUCACCACCAACAGCUGCAUGGUUACACGUGUAAUCCAAUACAACGGAUAUGUGGUUGUGGGCUGUGAGUAUGCUAAGCAAUGCUUUCCUGCCCAUUUUCAUUCGUCUGAGCCAAACAGGCCAAACUGGAAUGGUCGACCCUGUUUUUAUAAGAAGGGUUAAAACGUUUUUAGAGGCUUAGAAGACAUUGGAGUCCAGUUCUAAACCUCUGUCAAGCUAUAGCUGAAUUAGGCCUUUUUUGCUUUCAUGAAAACUUGUUAUUUUGAUCUUAUGCUGCAUUAUAACACCUGUUACUUGUUAACCUCUGUCAUUAUAACUUGUGGCUACAUGGGAUUAACAUUUAGAUUCUCUGCUAUUUUCAAUGUAAUCAGAAACUGUACACACACCUGUUUGUUGAAAGUUUAUUGUCAUCUUACCUCAAAGUGAAUUGGUUGAUUGUCUAUAGUAAACUGUUGGUUAUCAUCUUUUAUAACGUGUCGAUUCAGAUAAUUGUCAGUCUGUGAAAGUAGUCAAACUAGACUAAGCGUUAUUUGACCCAAAAAGGUCUCACAUCAAAGGAUCGACCAAAGCACCAUAACAAGUUUCCUUUCUUAGAGUUUAAUAUUCCCCACAACUGUGUGUACUUUCUCUGUUACUGAAAGUGUUUGUGAAGCUGUAUUCAAAUCCUGUUUGUGUUGCUCUAAAUAUUGUCAAAUAAAUGGCUUGAAGCAUCAAUCAAUA